RNAcentral lists this long non-coding RNA (595 nucleotides) under Brachypodium distachyon (stiff brome). RNAcentral's name for it is "long non-coding RNA (BDIS_LNC005119)". Lineage: Eukaryota; Viridiplantae; Streptophyta; Magnoliopsida; Poales; Poaceae. The record is from RNAcentral.
AGCUGAACAGUGGAGGGAAGCUCGGGUCUUUUCCUAGCCUCGGGUAGUCGUGAGCGAGAAUCUGACGGGCAGAGCUGGUAUGGGCUAUAUGGCAGCAAGAAUCGGGGUGGUCACGGGAGGGAGCCGCGUCCCACUGCGUUGGCUCCACGCGCGCGGUGCUGCGGAUCAGAUUCCUUCGAGAUGGCACAGCUGCACGGGGUGCGGCGUCAGCGAAGCACUGGUUCUUAUUUUAAAUUGGCUGGUGGAAACACUACAGCAAAAAAAAAAAAUUGGCUGAUGGAGAGAAGAAAGAGAAACAUGACAGAGGAAAACUCUUCGCGAAGAGUCACACACUCUUAGAGUCAGACUCUUUUACCGUUAACGAAGUCGCAUUUAAUGUUAACACAUUAUUUGAGUCAGUUUAAAGACGCAAGUCAUUGCACGUGUUAUUUAACCGUUGACUCUUGAUGAUGUACCGACUCUCCAAUUGCGGAUGCUCUGAGUCGGGUGUGCGCUGACGCAGCAUAUGCAUCUGGCUCUUUGCCAUGCAACUUACUAAUCGGGCCGUUCCAAGGAGGCAAGGACGCGCAUACUUUCGAGGCAGCAAAAGUGGCAU